RNAcentral lists this ribosomal RNA (468 nucleotides) under uncultured bacterium. RNAcentral's name for it is "bacterial SSU rRNA". It matches the Rfam family "Bacterial small subunit ribosomal RNA", at positions 29 to 506 of the family's 1533-position model. The record is from RNAcentral.
AUGAACGCUGGCGGCGUGGCUAAGGCAUGCAAGUCGAACGAAUUAUUUUUUGUAGCAAUACAAAGAAUAGUUAGUGGCAAACGGGUGCGUAUCACAUUGGUAACCUACCUCCCAGUCGGGUACAACCAGCCGAAAGGUUGGCUAAUUCCACGAUGGUCAUCCAAACAUAAAGUUUGUAUGUAAAGCGCAAAACGCGCUGGGAGAGGGGCCUAUGGCCCAUCAGCUAGUUGGUGAGGUAAUGGCUCACCAAGGCUACGACGGGUAGGGGGCGUGAGAGCGCGACCCCCCUCACUGGAACUGAGACACUGUCCAGACACCUACGGGUGGCUGCAGUCACGAAUAUUCCCCAAUGGACGAAAGUCUGAGGGAGCGACGCCGCGUGUAGGAUGAAGGGCUUCGGCUCGUAAACUACUUUUACCGAGGAAGAAUUCUGACGGUACUCGGAGAAUAAGAGGUUGCUAACUCUGU